UGGGGGAUAUUGCGCAAUGGGGGAAACCCUGACGCAGCAACGCCGCGUGAAGGAAGAAGGUCUUCGGAUUGUAAACUUUUGUCUUUGGGGAAGAAAAAAAUGACGGUACCCAAGGAGGAAGCCACGGCUAACUACGUGCCAGCAGCCGCGGUAAUACGUAGGUGGCAAGCGUUGUCCGGAUUUACUGGGUGUAAAGGGCGUGUAGACGGGACUUAAAGUCAGAUGUGAAAUACCGCAGCUCAACUGCGGGGCUGCAUUUGAAACUUAAGUUCUUGAGUGCAGGAGAGGAAAGCGGAAUUCCUAGUGUAGCGGUGAAAUGCGUAGAUAUUAGGAGGAACACCGGUGGCGAAGGCGGCUUUCUGGACUGUAACUGACGUUGAGGCGCGAAAGCGUGGGUAGCAAACAGG
This 407-nucleotide ribosomal RNA is filed under the name uncultured prokaryote. RNAcentral's name for it is "bacterial SSU rRNA". It matches the Rfam family "Bacterial small subunit ribosomal RNA", at positions 355 to 776 of the family's 1533-position model. The record is from RNAcentral. RNAcentral also lists the same sequence under 1 other name.